RNAcentral lists this transfer RNA (69 nucleotides) under Marmota monax (woodchuck). Its description in RNAcentral is "tRNA.Ala". Lineage: Eukaryota; Metazoa; Chordata; Mammalia; Rodentia; Sciuridae. The record is from RNAcentral.
GGAGUUGUGGCUUAGCGGUAGAGUGCUCGUCUAGCACGUGCGAGGCCUUGGGUUCGAUCCUCAACACCA